UACAGAGGGUGCGAGCGUUAAUCGGAAUGACUGGGCGUAAAGGGUGUGUAGGUGGUUUAAUAAGUUAGGUGUGAAAGUCCUGGGCUUAACCUGGGGAUGUCGCUUAAGACUGUUAAGCUAGAGUACUGGAGAGGGAGGUGGAAUUUCCGGUGUAGCAGUGAAAUGCGUAGAUAUCGGAAGGAACAUCAGUGGCGAAGGCGACUUUCUGGACAGAUACUGACACUGAGACACGAGAGCGUGGGGAGCAAACAGG
Molecule: ribosomal RNA, 253 nt
Filed under: uncultured bacterium
Lineage: Bacteria
Description: partial 16S ribosomal RNA
Rfam family: Bacterial small subunit ribosomal RNA
Source: RNAcentral